Asterias rubens (European starfish) is the source of this 273-nucleotide long non-coding RNA. RefSeq lists it as uncharacterized. The transcript is spliced from 3 exons. NCBI's taxonomy places the organism in Eukaryota, Metazoa, Echinodermata, Asteroidea, Forcipulatida, Asteriidae. The record is from RefSeq and is a predicted model, not a curated record.
AUGGACGGAGAUGAGUGAGUUGCUUCUUCGAGAGAAUUUUGCCCGCAAUUUUGCUCCAUUUUACCGUUUCCUGAAAAAGGAACGGUAGUUAUGAAAUGCAAGACAUGUCCUCACAAAGUAGAUGCAAAAACUGCAUCACAUGGUGUGGUCUAUCAUUCAUACCUGAGUCUCAACUCUCACAAGAAUGUUGAAGGGUCGUCACAAGGUCGUCGACCAGAAAGACCUAGGACCACUGAUUGACAGGGCAUGUGCCAAGUGCAGUCACGAUGGACU